RNAcentral lists this long non-coding RNA (2181 nucleotides) under Gallus gallus (chicken). Its description in RNAcentral is "lncRNA (ENSGALG00010000474.1)". Lineage: Eukaryota; Metazoa; Chordata; Aves; Galliformes; Phasianidae. The record is from RNAcentral.
ACCAACCCCAUAGAGGUGACAAUGGGACCCCAUAGAGGUGACAAUGUGACCCCAUGGAGUGCCACCAACCCCAUAGAGGUGACAAUGGGACCCCAUGGAGUGCCACCAACCCCAUAUUGGUGACAAUGGGACCCCAUUGGUGACAGUGGGACCCCAUAUUGGUGACAACGUGACCCCAUAGAGUGCCACCAACCCCAUAUUGGUGACAAUGGGACCCCAUGGAGUGCCACCAACCCCACAGAGGUGACAGUGGGACCCCAUAUUGGUGACAACGGGAUCCCAUAGACGUGACAACGGGACCCCAUGGAGUGCCACCAACCCCAUAGAGGUGACAAUGGGGCCAACGUCAGCACCCGGGAGGGGACGUCGAGGAGUGUCACCGUAUGGGGGUGACUCACGGGGGCGCCCCCACCCACCUCAGGGCGGUGUCACCGCGUCACCUCCCUCCCUUAUCUUAUCGGCGCCGUGGGGUGGGGGUGGGGCUCUCCCUAUAGGGCCACCCAUCCCCGUCCCGCCCCCUUUUUUUGGGGUCAAAUAACCCCCCCCCCCAUCCCCUCCACCCCCCACCCCAAAAUCCUUCCCGGGUUGCGGAGCCAUCGGGGGACGGAUGGUGGCCAUGGAGGUGGCCUUCGUCCUCGUCACCAUCGUCGGCCUCUGGGGGGGCCCUGGGGGGGCACGGAGGGCUGUCACCGCCGAUGUCACCACCGCUGCCACCACUGCCAACGUCACCACUGAUGUCACCUCUGAUGUCACCACUGAUGUCACCGCCAAUGACACCAUGAGUGUCCCCUCUGACGUCACCACUGCCAACGCCACCACAGCUGUCACCCCCAAUGUCACCGUGGAUGUCUCCUCUGACGUCACCACUGAUGUCACCACCAAUGGCACCACUGAUGUCACCUCUGAUGUCACCACUGACGUCACCACAGACGUCCCCACCACUGCCACCACUGCCAACGCCACCACUGACGUCACCAUUGACGUCACCACUGUUGUCACCACUGAUGUCCCCUCUGAUGUCACCACUGAUGUCACCUCUGACGUCACCACUGAUGUCACCACCAAUGGCACCACUGAUGUCACCUCUGAUGUCACCACUGACGUCACCACGGAUGUCCCCACCACUGCCACCACUGCCAACGUCACCACUGACGUCACCACUGUUGUCACCACUGAUGUCCCCUCUGAUGUCACCACUGAUGUCACCUCUGACGUCACCACUGAUGUCACCACCAAUGGCACCACUGAUGUCACCACUGAUGUCACCACUGACGUCACCACUGAUGUCACCUCUGAUGUCACCUGCGGUGGCUCCGUGGAUGUCCCCGCUGAUGUCACCACUGACGUCACCACGGAUGUCCCCACCACUGCCACCACUGCCAACGUCACCACAGAUGUCCCUUCCAAUGGUACCACCGAUGUCACCACUGAUGUCCCCUCUGAUGUCACCUCUGACGUCACCUCUGACGUCACCACUGCCAACGUCACCACAGCUGUCACCUCCAAUGUCACCAUGGAUGUCCCCUCUGAUGUCACCGAUGUCACCUCUGAUGUCACCACCGUUGUCACCACCGAUGUCACCACUGAUAUCACCUCUGAUGUCACCUGCAGUGGCUCCGUGGAUGUCCCCUCUGAUGUCACCACUGACAUCACCACUGAUGUCCCCACCACUGCCACCACUGCCAACGUCACCACUGACGUCACCACCGUUGUCACCACUGAUGUCACCACUGACGUCACCUCUGAUGUCACCACCGCCAACGUCACCACAGCUGUCACCUCCAAUAGCACCAUGGAUGUCCCCUCUGACGUCACCGCUGAGGUCACCUCCAAUGUCACCUCUGAUGUCACCACUGAUGUCACCAUGGAUGUCACCUGCGAUGGCACCGUGGAUGUCCCCUCUGAUGUCACCACUGAUGUCACCACCACUGUCACCACUGCCAACGUCACCACAGCUGUCACCUCCAAUGGCACCACUGAUGUCCCCUCUGAUGUCACCACUGAUGUCACCACCGUUGUCACCACAGAUGGCCCCUCUGACGUCACUUCUGAUGUCACCACCAAUGGCACCACUGAUGUCACUUCUGAUGUCACUUCUGAUGUCACCACUGACGUCACCACCGUUGUCACCUCUGAUGUCCCGUCUGAUGUCACCACUGUUGUCACCACAGAUGUCCCCUC